CCUACGGGAGGCAGCAGUGAGGAAUAUUGGACAAUGGGCGCAAGCCUGAUCCAGCCAUGUCGCGUGCAGGAAGACGGUCCUAUGGAUUGUAAACUGCUACUGUACAGGAAGUAACACUCGGACGUGUCCGAGCUUGACGGUACUGUAAGCAUAAGGAUCGGCUAACUCCGUGCCAGCAGUCGCGGUAAUACGGAGGAUCCAAGCGUUAUCCGGAAUCAUUGGGUUUAAAGGGUCCGUAGGCGGCUUAAUAAGUCAGUGGUGAAAUCUGGUCGCUCAACGAUCAAACGGCCAUUGAUACUGUUAAACUUGAAUUAUAAGGAAGUAACUAGAAUAUGUAGUGUAGCGGUGCAAUGCUUAGAUAUUACAUGGAAUACCAAUUGCGAAGGCAGGUUACUACUUAUGGAUUGACGCUGAUGGACGGAAGCGUAGGGAGCGAACAGGAUUAGAUACCCUGGUAGUCCACGCCGUGAACGAUGGAUACUAGCUGUUGGGAGCAAUCUCAGUGGCGAAGCGA
This 514-nucleotide ribosomal RNA is filed under the name uncultured bacterium. Its description in RNAcentral is "bacterial SSU rRNA". It matches the Rfam family "Bacterial small subunit ribosomal RNA", at positions 338 to 854 of the family's 1533-position model. The record is from RNAcentral.